Molecule: ribosomal RNA, 834 nt
Filed under: uncultured bacterium
Lineage: Bacteria
Description: bacterial SSU rRNA
Rfam family: Bacterial small subunit ribosomal RNA
Source: RNAcentral
UCGAACGAGUUCUCGUUGAUGAUCGGUGCUUGCACCGAGAUUCAACAUCCCUUGAGUGGUGGACGGGUGAGUAACACGUGGGUAACCUGCCCUUAAGUGGGGGAUAACAUUUGGAAACAGAUGCUAAUACCGCAUAGAUCCAAGAACCGCAUGGUUCUUGGCUGAAAGAUGGCGUAAGCUAUCGCUUUUGGAUGGACCCGCGGCGUAUUAGCUAGUUGGUGAGGUAAUGGCUCACCAAGGCGAUGAUACGUAGCCGAACUGAGAGGUUGAUCGGCCACAUUGGGACUGAGACACGGCCCAAACUCCUACGGGAGGCAGCAGUAGGGAAUCUUCCACAAUGGACGCAAGUCUGAUGGAGCAACGCCGCGUGAGUGAAGAAGGCUUUCGGGUCGUAAAACUCUGUUGUUGGAGAAGAAUGGUCGGCAGAGUAACUGUUGUCGGCGUGACGGUAUCCAACCAGAAAGCCACGGCUAACUACGUGCCAGCAGCCGCGGUAAUACGUAGGUGGCAAGCGUUAUCCGGAUUUAUUGGGCGUAAAGCGAGCGCAGGCGGUUUUUUAAGUCUGAUGUGAAAGCCCUCGGCUUAACCGAGGAAGCGCAUCGGAAACUGGGAAACUUGAGUGCAGAAGAGGACAGUGGAACUCCAUGCGUAGCGGUGAAAUGCGUAGAUAUAUGGAAGAACACCAGUGGCGAAGGCGGCUGUCUGGUCUGUAACUGACGCUGAGGCUCGAAAGCAUGGGUAGCGAACAGGAUUAGAUACCCUGGUAGUCCAUGCCGUAAACGAUGAAUGCUAGGUGUUGGAGGGUUUCCGCCCUUCAGUGCCGCAGCUAACGCA